RNAcentral lists this ribosomal RNA (118 nucleotides) under Pteropus alecto (black flying fox). The record is from RNAcentral. Lineage: Eukaryota; Metazoa; Chordata; Mammalia; Chiroptera; Pteropodidae.
GUAUUAGGCCAUGCCACCUUAAACAAGCCCGAUCCAUCUGAUCUCAGAAGCUAAGCAGGGUUGAGCCUGAUUAGUACUUGGAUGGGAGACCACCUAGGAAUAGCAGGUGCUGUAGGUG